AUGAAGUGGCUCUCGCGGUCCAAGAUGGCGCCGGCCACGGAGAUGGCCAUUCGCGUCACCGUCAGUGACAAUGCUGUAACCAGCAAGGCUCUGCGCUGGUUGCCGAAGCAGAAGAGAGGGUUGCGUCGUGCGGGCACUAGUUGCCGCCUUGAUCCGUAUCUAUACAUGGUACAUGGAAUCUAUGCCACAUAGUUUGCGUUUGGAUGA
This 207-nucleotide ribosomal RNA is filed under the name Triticum aestivum (bread wheat). RNAcentral describes it as "partial small subunit ribosomal RNA". The record is from RNAcentral. Lineage: Eukaryota; Viridiplantae; Streptophyta; Magnoliopsida; Poales; Poaceae.